This 253-nucleotide ribosomal RNA is filed under the name uncultured bacterium. Its description in RNAcentral is "partial 16S ribosomal RNA". It matches the Rfam family "Bacterial small subunit ribosomal RNA", at positions 524 to 776 of the family's 1533-position model. The record is from RNAcentral.
GACGGAAGGUGCAAGCGUUGCUCGGAAUCACUGGGCGUAAAGGGUGCGUAGGCGGCCGUGCAAGUCUGGCGUGAAAGCCCCGGGCUCAGCCCGGGAAGUGCGCUCGAAACUGCGCGGCUCGAGUGCCGGAGGGGAGAGUGGAAUUCCUGGUGUAGCGGUGAAAUGCGUAGAUAUCAGGAGGAAUACCGGUGGCGAAGGCAGGUCUCUGGGCCGAUACUGACGCUGAGGAGCGAAAGCGUGGGGAGCGAACAGG